RNAcentral lists this ribosomal RNA (2293 nucleotides) under Escherichia coli. RNAcentral describes it as "partial 23S ribosomal RNA". It matches the Rfam family "Bacterial large subunit ribosomal RNA", at positions 672 to 2925 of the family's 2925-position model. The record is from RNAcentral. Lineage: Bacteria; Pseudomonadati; Pseudomonadota; Gammaproteobacteria; Enterobacterales; Enterobacteriaceae.
GGAAACCGAGUCUUAACUGGGCGUUAAGUUGCAGGGUAUAGACCCGAAACCCGGUGAUCUAGCCAUGGGCAGGUUGAAGGUUGGGUAACACUAACUGGAGGACCGAACCGACUAAUGUUGAAAAAUUAGCGGAUGACUUGUGGCUGGGGGUGAAAGGCCAAUCAAACCGGGAGAUAGCUGGUUCUCCCCGAAAGCUAUUUAGGUAGCGCCUCGUGAAUUCAUCUCCGGGGGUAGAGCACUGUUUCGGCAAGGGGGUCAUCCCGACUUACCAACCCGAUGCAAACUGCGAAUACCGGAGAAUGUUAUCACGGGAGACACACGGCGGGUGCUAACGUCCGUCGUGAAGAGGGAAACAACCCAGACCGCCAGCUAAGGUCCCAAAGUCAUGGUUAAGUGGGAAACGAUGUGGGAAGGCCCAGACAGCCAGGAUGUUGGCUUAGAAGCAGCCAUCAUUUAAAGAAAGCGUAAUAGCUCACUGGUCGAGUCGGCCUGCGCGGAAGAUGUAACGGGGCUAAACCAUGCACCGAAGCUGCGGCAGCGACACUGUGUGUUGUUGGGUAGGGGAGCGUUCUGUAAGCCUGUGAAGGUGUGCUGUGAGGCAUGCUGGAGGUAUCAGAAGUGCGAAUGCUGACAUAAGUAACGAUAAAGCGGGUGAAAAGCCCGCUCGCCGGAAGACCAAGGGUUCCUGUCCAACGUUAAUCGGGGCAGGGUGAGUCGACCCCUAAGGCGAGGCCGAAAGGCGUAGUCGAUGGGAAACAGGUUAAUAUUCCUGUACUUGGUGUUACUGCGAAGGGGGGACGGAGAAGGCUAUGUUGGCCGGGCGACGGUUGUCCCGGUUUAAGCGUGUAGGCUGGUUUUCCAGGCAAAUCCGGAAAAUCAAGGCUGAGGCGUGAUGACGAGGCACUACGGUGCUGAAGCAACAAAUGCCCUGCUUCCAGGAAAAGCCUCUAAGCAUCAGGUAACAUCAAAUCGUACCCCAAACCGACACAGGUGGUCAGGUAGAGAAUACCAAGGCGCUUGAGAGAACUCGGGUGAAGGAACUAGGCAAAAUGGUGCCGUAACUUCGGGAGAAGGCACGCUGAUAUGUAGGUGAAGUCCCUCGCGGAUGGAGCUGAAAUCAGUCGAAGAUACCAGCUGGCUGCAACUGUUUAUUAAAAACACAGCACUGUGCAAACACGAAAGUGGACGUAUACGGUGUGACGCCUGCCCGGUGCCGGAAGGUUAAUUGAUGGGGUCAGCGCAAGCGAAGCUCUUGAUCGAAGCCCCGGUAAACGGCGGCCGUAACUAUAACGGUCCUAAGGUAGCGAAAUUCCUUGUCGGGUAAGUUCCGACCUGCACGAAUGGCGUAAUGAUGGCCAGGCUGUCUCCACCCGAGACUCAGUGAAAUUGAACUCGCUGUGAAGAUGCAGUGUACCCGCGGCAAGACGGAAAGACCCCGUGAACCUUUACUAUAGCUUGACACUGAACAUUGAGCCUUGAUGUGUAGGAUAGGUGGGAGGCUUUGAAGUGUGGACGCCAGUCUGCAUGGAGCCGACCUUGAAAUACCACCCUUUAAUGUUUGAUGUUCUAACGUGGACCCGUGAUCCGGGUUGCGGACAGUGUCUGGUGGGUAGUUUGACUGGGGCGGUCUCCUCCUAAAGAGUAACGGAGGAGCACGAAGGUUGGCUAAUCCUGGUCGGACAUCAGGAGGUUAGUGCAAUGGCAUAAGCCAGCUUGACUGCGAGCGUGACGGCGCGAGCAGGUGCGAAAGCAGGUCAUAGUGAUCCGGUGGUUCUGAAUGGAAGGGCCAUCGCUCAACGGAUAAAAGGUACUCCGGGGAUAACAGGCUGAUACCGCCCAAGAGUUCAUAUCGACGGCGGUGUUUGGCACCUCGAUGUCGGCUCAUCACAUCCUGGGGCUGAAGUAGGUCCCAAGGGUAUGGCUGUUCGCCAUUUAAAGUGGUACGCGAGCUGGGUUUAGAACGUCGUGAGACAGUUCGGUCCCUAUCUGCCGUGGGCGCUGGAGAACUGAGGGGGGCUGCUCCUAGUACGAGAGGACCGGAGUGGACGCAUCACUGGUGUUCGGGUUGUCAUGCCAAUGGCACUGCCCGGUAGCUAAAUGCGGAAGAGAUAAGUGCUGAAAGCAUCUAAGCACGAAACUUGCCCCGAGAUGAGUUCUCCCUGACCCUUUAAGGGUCCUGAAGGAACGUUGAAGACGACGACGUUGAUAGGCCGGGUGUGUAAGCGCAGCGAUGCGUUGAGCUAACCGGUACUAAUGAACCGUGAGGCUUAACCUUACAACGCCGAAGGUGUUU